Sarcophilus harrisii (Tasmanian devil) is the source of this 1635-nucleotide long non-coding RNA. NCBI's taxonomy places the organism in Eukaryota, Metazoa, Chordata, Mammalia, Dasyuromorphia, Dasyuridae. The record is from Ensembl.
AUGACGUCACAGCCUGGGUUUUCUCCCUAGCUCGCGUGGCUGUGCGGGAGGAGGCAGCAGGGGCGCGGCCUCCCGGGCCGGGCACCCCAAACCCGCUCUCUACCUGACCCCUGACCCCGGCGUUUGUCAGGCCUGUUAUUACGCUCCUUCCGGCCCGGCCCGCUGUAGCCCUGCCUGGCACGUGCUCUUUCCCCCCCCCCCCCCCUCCGCUCCCUGGUGUCCAGCGCGGACGCCGUGACCUUGUCCUGGUCACCUCCUCCCCCUGACCAGCCCCUUGGGGAGGGGGGGGGGGGGAAAUAAAGGCCUGAAUUUUUAAAAAAAGCACUUUCGUGUAUCUCCAACUCUUCCUGACCCCAUCUGAGGCUUUCUGGCAAAAAGACUGCAGCGGUUUGCCUUCCGGCUCGUUUUACAAAUGAGGAAAUUGAGGCAGAAGUGACUGGGCCAAGGUCACACAGCAAGUAUGGGAGCCCGGAUGUGAGCUUAGCGAGAGCAGGCGCCCUCAGUGCAAGGCCGCAGUACUACUCGACCUACCUCUUUCUGAUUUUAUUAUUCAUGACGAUCUUGCUUGCUGUGACUGCAAAUUGUGAAGCGCUUCAACUAUCUGAAUCCCUGAAAGAUCUAAUAGAAGUCAUUACUUCCUUAGGACUCUACAAGGUUGGAACUCAUAGGCUUAAAAGAUGUUCUGUUUUUCCUACAUUUGAUUGGAUUUCCUUAUCAAACUGCUGUUCUUUCCAAGCCCAAGCAUAAGGAUUUUGAGUUGCUCUAGCAAGACCAUUGUAUGGUUUGUGGUGACAAAACUAUUAAAAGUUAUUACCAUAGAUAACUAUAUAAAUGUGUAUACAUAUAUUGGAUUUAACAUAUAUUUUAACAUAUUUAACAUGUAUGGGGCUACCUGCCAUCUAGGGGAGGGAGUGGGGAGAAGAAGGGGAAAAGCUGGAACAGAAGGUUUGGCAAGGGGUCGAUUUUGAAAAAUUAUCCAUGCAUAUGUUUUGUAAAUAAAAAGCUAUAAUAAAAAAAGGCAUAACAAAGGUGUUGCUAUAAGAGUCUUACCUGUGGUUUCUAUGCAUGCUUUGGAAGCCAUAGUUCAAAAAGAAGUGAAAAAAAUCAGUUUUAUAAGACUUCUACCAGUAAUUGUAAAAUCACCAAAUCCACCAAACUAGAUUGUAGAGCUUGCUGCCUUAACCAGUGUUAUCAAACUGGAAUGGCUUCUCAAAAUUUUAAAAAACAUCUAGCAAUUCUUCAGCAAGAAAUCCAGUUUCUUAAGCCUGGAAAGACUUACAUGAACUUACAUGAUGUUAAAUGAAGUGAAUAGAACCAAGAAAACAUUGUACAUAGCAACAAGAAGGUUACGUGAUGAUCAACUAUAAUGGACUUGGCUCUUUUCAAUAAUAAGAUGAUUCAAGUCAAUUCCAAUAGACUUCUGAUGGAAAGAUCCAUCUUCAUCCAGGGAGAGAACUAUGGAGACUGAAUGUGAAUUAGAUUAUAGUGUUUUUGCCUUUUUUGUUGUUUGAUUGCUUUCUUUUUUUUCAUCUUUUGAUCUGAUUUUUCUUAUACAACAUGACAAAUAUGGAAAUAUGUUUAGAAGAACUGCACAAGUUUAACCUAUAUUUUAUUGUUCAUUGUCUAUGGGAGGGG